Molecule: long non-coding RNA, 1491 nt
Filed under: Macaca mulatta (Rhesus monkey)
Lineage: Eukaryota; Metazoa; Chordata; Mammalia; Primates; Cercopithecidae
Description: lncRNA (ENSMMUG00000052650.1)
Source: RNAcentral
CAAAUAUAUUUUAGUCAGAAAUACCUGAAACAAAAAUUCUGAUCACACUCUGAUUUCUGUUUAAUAAUCAUUAAUGUCUCUGCAAAGCUUAUGAUGGAAUAAAGUGCAAGCACCUAAAUAUAUAGCAUAGUUAAGUACUUGUAGUUAGGAGCUUUGGGUUUACUUUGAUUUAAUAGAAAAACCCAAAAUGAUACUAGAGUAGCCUAUAAAUGAGAAAAUUAUAUUUCUGUGUCAUAUAUAAAAAGUGUGGAGGCAGGAUGACUUAGGCUGUUAUGGAGGUUUCACAAAGUCAUCAAAAAACUCAGUCUCCUUUGCUCUGCCAUGCUUAGCACAAGAUUUCUAUUCUCAAAGUCACUUUUUGGUCCCAGUUAAUCACUGGAGCUCCAGCCAUCCUAUCUGUUACAGGUAGCAGAAAAAGAAGACACAAGGUGAAGUUGAAGAAAGGAGAACAUCUGAAGCAACUUCUUAAUUUUUUUUUCUCCAAAUGACACUCAAUAGUAUGAGAAAAGAAGCAUGAUUUCAAAAGAAUGGCCCCAAAUAAAGAGAUAUUAUUAUGUCACCAAGGUCCAAAGUCUUUCAUAGAUAUGACUAAGAAAAUAAAAAGGGUAGAAGGGAAUGGAAAGGAACAUUGAGACAUCAGGAGAAAAGUGAACAAGUAGUCAACUCCAAGAAUCAAGAACAAAGAACUACUGGACUACCCAUUGAAAAAGGGUGAAGUAAAGCCUGUACAAAAUUAAACUAACCAAGCUCGCUGUCUAAAGCAAACACAUUCACUAUAUCUUGGGUGCAAUUUUCUAGAAUUAGUGAAUAUUCCUAACCACUUAAUGAUGUUUUGUAUUAAUAGAACAUGAUAUUCAUCCCCUCUGAUGUAAAGGCACAUACAUUAGUAAUUAAUACAACAUUAACUAGUAAUACUUUUUAGGUUUCCUUACUUAGUGAACUAAUAUUUUAUGGCUAAUUUGUUCAAAUAAGGCUUCCAUCAUGAAUUUAUUGUAAAGAAUAGCAUGAUUAGAAAAAUAUGAUGAGAACAAUAAAUAGUAUGUAAAACUACAAAUACAUUGCCUGGUAUAUCUUAAAACCUGAAUAAGUAGUUGAUAUAUAAUAAUAAAUUUCUGUCAGACUACUGUUUAUCAAUUUUCUUUUUAGGAAAAUUAUACUUUAUAGAAUGUUUUUAUAAUAGUAUGGCUGAGUUAGACUCUUAGUUGCUCUGGGUUUUGUCACUAGAUUCAAAAGCUAGGGACAAAUUUCUGAUUCUGUCACAUUCUAAAAAGAACUGGAUACCUAAGAAAAUACACAGUGCAGUAUUUAAAGAGGCUAACUGUCUCCAACGUUCAGAAAAUAGGUAGGUAGGUAGGUAGGUAGAUAGAUAGAUAUGUGGGUAGGAUGAUAAAAUAAAAUAUACAACAUUGACGAAUCUAGGUAAAUGAGUUUAUUUGCAAUAUUAUUUAAAAUCUUCAGGAAAUAUGGAAUUAUAUCUAAAUAAAUAGUAUU